Molecule: long non-coding RNA, 207 nt
Organism: Mizuhopecten yessoensis (Yesso scallop)
Lineage: Eukaryota; Metazoa; Mollusca; Bivalvia; Pectinida; Pectinidae
Exons: 3
Source: RefSeq, a predicted model, not a curated record
GUGAAUUAGCAUCCUUUCUACUGCAAUGAAGCUGAAGGUGUUUUCCUAUUUGGCAACGGUCGUUGCAUUAGCAUAUGCAGGCCCUAUUGGCGACGGGAAUGCUUCGUGUUCAAAUUCGUGCACUGGAUCACAUAAGUUUGGCUACCGCCCUGGGAUCGCUUAUGAGUUUGAAUACAAUAUUAAGACAUCUACGGGGGUGAAAGGGCC